Molecule: non-coding RNA, 1610 nt
Organism: Callithrix jacchus (white-tufted-ear marmoset)
Lineage: Eukaryota; Metazoa; Chordata; Mammalia; Primates; Cebidae
Source: RefSeq, a predicted model, not a curated record
GACUGGUUGUUGGGUCCAGGUGGAGCUACUGGUCAUCAGAAAUGCAAACACCUGAAAAGACAUCUCGAAAGGCCAAUCUUCGGUUCUACAGUAGUCAAGUAACUGUCAGGGGUAACUGGGGAAAUUGCAAAUCUUGUGACCUCUGGAAAAAUGGCUGGUAAUCAUUUAUGUCUACACAUUAGCAGGACUCAGGCUCUUCUCAUCCUCCUAACCUGGUGGCCUUCCAUUAGCUUUAUGAAGGCGGUUUAGUUUUGGGGAAGGACUAUUAUCAUUUAAACUAUAAAGUAUAUUCCUCUCAAAGUUACCUCGACCCAAGCCCAGGAAUGCCUAAGAGAAGCUUGGAGGUUAAGAGCAAGACUGGAGUUGGUUAAAUCUUUCACUGUCAUCAUUUUCUCCCUGUUAUAAUUUUCACAAAGGACCCAGGGUUCACUGAAAAUGGAAGAGACAAGACGGAUUGCAGAGGCUGGGCUCGGUGCCCCACCCAACCUAACAAGUGACUCCACUUUUACCUGUUUCAACUACUGGACUUCUAGAGCGGUGCAAUAUGAAGAAAGCAUCCUGUGCCAAAAUAAAGGCUGGAAUGCAAUGGCGUGAUCUCAGCUCACUGCAACCUCGACCUCCCGAGUUCAAGCAUUCUUCUGCCUCAGCCUCCCAAGUAGCUGGGAUUUCAGCUUUCCCUGCAUUUCCUCAUCCUCCUUCCUACUGCCAACUUGUGAGGGCCGCAUUCUACAGAUGCCUCCCCCACCAUCCCCUCCAAGAGUUAUUCAAACACUAACCUCAGUGCUUCUGUGAAGGAUUUUGCAGCGAUAUUAAAGUCUCACAGCAGCUGACAUCAAGAUCCAGGUGUGCCUCAUGUAGUCACAGGAGCCCCUUAAAAGCAGAGUUUUCUCCGCUUUCAGAAAAGAAAAGAAAAAAAGCACAGGUAAGACCAGAGAUGUACCGUUGCUGGCUUUGAAGAUAGAGGGGCCGCAUGCAGAGAAAUGAGGCAUGUGGAAGCUGGGUGUGGCCCCCAAGAAUCAGCCACCAAGAAAUGAGAACUUCAGUCCUACAACCACAAGACAUCGAAUUCUGUCAACAACCUGAAUGAGCUGGGAGAGAACCCCCGACCCCUGGAUGAGGCUGCAGCCACAGCCAAUAACUACAUUUCCCAGUGAGGCCUUGAGAACACCAUCUAGCAGGCCCACAGAAACUGUGAGAGAAUCAGUGGUAACGUUGCUCUUUGAUUUGUGGUCAUUUGUUAAGCAGCAACAGAAAAGGAAGACACAAUUUCUUAGAACAGAUUAUCUUCCCUUGUCACCUUUUUUAACUAGCACCAGUGGAAUUCCUUCCAAUCCGUGAUGAGAGGUGGUUUUCUAAAAUGCAAAUCUAGUGUCGUCAUUCUUUCUCCCAACAUUUCAGAGGCUUUCGUUUCUCAAAUCCUUUACUGAGCUCUCAAGGCCCUUCAGAGUUGGACUUCCACCAGCCUUUCUGGCUUCCCUCUUGUACAUCACAAAUACCUUUCUCUCCCACCCACAAAGCAGACCGCACUCUCCGAAUGGAGAUGCAGUCUCCUGUUCUUCACCCAUGUGACCCUGCCUGGACGUCCUUCCAUCCUUCUCACUAUACAGAUA